Molecule: ribosomal RNA, 268 nt
Filed under: uncultured prokaryote
Description: partial 16S ribosomal RNA
Rfam family: Bacterial small subunit ribosomal RNA
Source: RNAcentral
UACGGAGGGUGCAAGCGUUAUCCGGAAUCACUGGGCGUAAAGGGCGCGUAGGCGGUCUGUUAAGUCUGGCGUUAAAGCCUGGGGCUCAACCCCAGAUCAGCGUUGGAUACUGGCAGGCUAGACGGUUGGAGAGGCGAGUGGAAUUACCAGUGUAGCGGUGGAAUGCGUAGAUACUGGUAGGAACACCCAUUGCGAAGGCAGCUCGCUGGACAACACGUGACGCUGAGGCGCGAAAGUGUGGGGAGCAAACCGGAUUAGAUACCCGGUA